UCGUAUAGAUCACAGUUAUCUUUAUCCCAGUAAAGUUCUACUCCAGUUUUUCACUUCCAAAUCAUUUAAGUAGUUUUAAAGUACCAUUUAACAAGUAUUUACUCUAGAUUGUGGAGCACGCUUGAAAUAUGAGUGUACGCUUCUGCACGCCCCUGUGUUUUCAGCUCUCUAUUGGAGGCAUCAUCAUUCUGAAGGAUACCAGUGAAGACAUUGAGGAGCUGGUGGAACCUGUGGCAGCACAUGGCCCAAAAAUCGAGGAGGAGGAACAAGAGCCAGAACCCCCAGAACCAUUUGAGUAUAUUGAUGAUUAAGGACCAGAGGAUCUCACUUGCUUAUCUGAAGAAGAUUGUCCAGGCUCAUAUUGGGAAUGCUUAUGAGGAAAUUCAUGCUGAGACCUGCUAUUCAAUGCAUGUAUCGUUGCCUCUGCACUGACCUGAAGAACCCUGUCUCCAAGUCUUUGGUUGAAGAGAAGAUAUAUGACUGUUGAGUGUGCUCUUUCACAGAACUUGGUUUUCAAAUAAAUAUAAGAUCUCCAGAUGGACAAGA
RNAcentral lists this small RNA (546 nucleotides) under Pan troglodytes (chimpanzee). RNAcentral's name for it is "retained intron". Lineage: Eukaryota; Metazoa; Chordata; Mammalia; Primates; Hominidae. The record is from RNAcentral.